This 253-nucleotide ribosomal RNA is filed under the name uncultured bacterium. RNAcentral describes it as "partial 16S ribosomal RNA". It matches the Rfam family "Bacterial small subunit ribosomal RNA", at positions 524 to 776 of the family's 1533-position model. The record is from RNAcentral.
GACGGAGGGUGCAAACGUUGUUCGGAAUCACUGGGCAUAAAGAGCUCGUAGGCGGCCCGCUAAGUCAGGUGUGAAAGCCCUCGGCUCAACCGAGGAACUGCACUUGAUACUGACGGGCUCGAGUCUGGUUGGGGUGAGCGGAACUCCAGGUGGAGCGGUGAAAUGCGUAGAUAUCUGGAGGAACACCGGUGGCGAAAGCGGCUCACUGGACCAGCACUGACGCUGAGGAGCGAAAGCUAGGGUAGCAAACGGG